GACGAACGCUGGCGGCGUGCUUAACACAUGCAAGUCGAGCGGUAAGGCCCUUUCGGGGGUACGACGAGCGGCGAACGGGUGAGUAACACGUGGGUGACCUGCCCUCAGCUCUGGGAUAAGCCUGGGAAACCGGGUCUAAUACUGGAUAUGACUCCAUGACGCAUGUUGUGGGGUGGAAAGCCUUGUGCGGCUGAGGAUGGGCCCGCGGCCUAUCAGCUUGUUGGUGGGGUGANGGCCUACCAAGGCGACGACGGGUAGCCGGCCUGAGAGGGCGACCGGCCACACUGGGACUGAGACACGGCCCAGACUCCUACGGGAGGCAGCAGUGGGGAAUCUUGCGCAAUGGGCGAAAGCCUGACGCAGCGACGCCGCGUGAGGGAUGACGGCCU
This 389-nucleotide ribosomal RNA is filed under the name uncultured bacterium. RNAcentral describes it as "bacterial SSU rRNA". It matches the Rfam family "Bacterial small subunit ribosomal RNA", at positions 28 to 417 of the family's 1533-position model. The record is from RNAcentral.